GUAGUCAUAUGCUUGUCUCAAAGAUUAAGCCAUGCAUGUCUAAGUAUAAGCAAAUUUAUACCGUGAAACUGCGAAUGGCUCAUUAAAUCAGUUAUCGUUUAUUUGAUAGUACCUUACUACUUGGAUAACCGUGGUAAUUCUAGAGCUAAUACAUGCUAAAAGCCCCGACUUCGGAAGGGGUGUAUUUAUUAGAUUAAAAACCAAUGCCCUUCGGGGCUCUUUGGUGAUUCAUAAUAACUUAACGAAUCGCAUGGCCUUGUGCCGGCGAUGGUUCAUUCAAAUUUCUGCCCUAUCAACUUUCGAUGGUAGUAUAUGGGACUACCAUGGUUCAACGGGUAACGGGGAAU
Molecule: ribosomal RNA, 347 nt
Filed under: Oidium heveae
Lineage: Eukaryota; Fungi; Ascomycota; Leotiomycetes; Helotiales; Erysiphaceae
Description: SSU rRNA
Rfam family: Eukaryotic small subunit ribosomal RNA
Source: RNAcentral